UACUGACUGAGCUAGCCAGGCACCCCUCAAUAAUUUCUUAAUAUCAUCAAAUACCCAUUAUCUGUUUAACUCAGCAAGAAGAACAUAUUCGGAUUUCCUACAUUAUAUUUGUCAAUAAAAUUUUAAAUCUGCUAAAUAUUACAAUGUAUCUGACAGUCACCUGAAGAAAAAACAAGUUGUUUUAUGCUAUGAAGAAUGCAAAAAGCACCACCUAGUGGCCAGUGGUUCCAACAAACAGAAGCACAGUAUUCUGCCGCUCAAGAAAAUCUUCUGAGGAAAAACUAAAGAUCAAAUUGAAGCAAGGCCGGGAGUUGGAAGUUUACAUGGUUAAUUUCCCACUUGUGGGUGCCUGGGUGGCUCAGUUGUUAAGCGUCUGCCUUCGGCUCAGGUCAUGAUCCCAGGGUCCCUGCUCAGCGGGAAGCCUGCUUCUCCCUCUCCCACUCCCCCUGCUUGUGUUCCCUCUCUUGCUGUGUCUCUCUCUGUCAAAUAAAUAAAAUCUUUACAAAAAUUUUUUUUUUUACCACUUGCUCCCCAAGGUCUUCCCUGAAGUCUGAA
Long non-coding RNA from Ailuropoda melanoleuca (giant panda), 555 nucleotides. RefSeq lists it as uncharacterized. Lineage: Eukaryota; Metazoa; Chordata; Mammalia; Carnivora; Ursidae. The transcript has 3 exons. The record is from RefSeq and is a predicted model, not a curated record.